RNAcentral lists this ribosomal RNA (477 nucleotides) under uncultured anaerobic ammonium-oxidizing bacterium. RNAcentral describes it as "bacterial SSU rRNA". It matches the Rfam family "Bacterial small subunit ribosomal RNA", at positions 365 to 832 of the family's 1533-position model. The record is from RNAcentral.
UUCGCAAUGCCCGAAAGGGUGACGGAGCGACGCCGCGUGCGGGAAGAAGGCCUUCGGGUUGCAAACCGCUGUCGGGAGUUAAGAAAUGCAAGGAUGUUAAUAGCGUUCUUGCUUGACUAAGGCUCCGGAGGAAGCCACGGCUAACUCUGUGCCAGCAGCCGCGGUAAUACAGAGGUGGCAAGCGUUGUUCGGUAUUAUUGGGCGUAAAGAGCACGUAGGUGGUUUUGUAAGUCAGAUGUGAAAGCCUUCUGUUCAAAGGAAGAACGGCAUCUGAAACUGCGAAUCUUGAGUGUAGGAGGGGAGAGUGGAACUUCUGGUGGAGCGGUGAAAUGCGUAGAUAUCAGAAGGAACGCCGGCGGCGAAAGCGGCUCUCUGGCCCGUAACUGACGCUGAGUGUGCGAAAGCUAGGGGAGCAAACGGGAUUAGAUACCCCGGUAGUCCUAGCCGUAAACGAUGGGCACUAAGUAGAGGGGUUUU